CGGUGACGUUAAGCAAAUCCCAGAAAUAACGUCCCAGUUCGGAUUGUAGUCUGCAACCCGACUACAUGAAGCUGGAAUCGCUAGUAAUCGCGAAUCAGAAUGUCGCGGUGAAUACGUUCCCGGGUCUUGUACACACCGCCCGUCACACCAUGGGAGUCGGAAAUGCCCGAAGUCAGUGACCCAACCGUAAGGAGGGAGCUGCCGAAGGUGGAGCCGGUAACUGGGGUGAAGUCGUAACAAGGUAUC
This 246-nucleotide ribosomal RNA is filed under the name uncultured bacterium. RNAcentral's name for it is "partial 16S ribosomal RNA". It matches the Rfam family "Bacterial small subunit ribosomal RNA", at positions 1255 to 1500 of the family's 1533-position model. The record is from RNAcentral.